AGUAAAGUCAGCUAAUAAAGCUUUUGGGCCCAUACCCCAACCAUGUUGAUUAAAAUCCUUCCUUUACUA
RNAcentral lists this transfer RNA (69 nucleotides) under Alopias vulpinus (thresher shark). RNAcentral's name for it is "tRNA-Met". The record is from RNAcentral. Lineage: Eukaryota; Metazoa; Chordata; Chondrichthyes; Lamniformes; Alopiidae.